AUCAGUGUGGUGUAGUGGUGUGAAUAUUGGCCUAUGACACUAGAGACCAGGGUUUGAAUCCCUGCUCAGCCA
Non-coding RNA from Phrynosoma platyrhinos (Desert horned lizard), 72 nucleotides. Lineage: Eukaryota; Metazoa; Chordata; Lepidosauria; Squamata; Phrynosomatidae. The record is from the annotation of a GenBank genome assembly.